Molecule: ribosomal RNA, 305 nt
Filed under: uncultured bacterium
Lineage: Bacteria
Description: bacterial SSU rRNA
Rfam family: Bacterial small subunit ribosomal RNA
Source: RNAcentral
CCUACGGGAGGCAGCAGUGGGGAAUAUUGCACAAUGGGGGGAACCCUGAUGCAGCGACGCCGCGUGAGUGAAGAAGUAUUUCGGUAUGUAAAGCUCUUUCAGCAGGGAAGAAGAAAGACGGUACCUGACCAAGAAGCCCCGGCUAACUACGUGCCAGCAGCCGCGGUAAUACGUAGGGGGCAAGCGUUAUCCGGAUUUACUGGGUGUAAAGGGAGCGUAGACGGAGGAGCAAGUCUGAUGUGAAAAUCCGGGGCCCAACCCCGGAACUGCAUUGGAACCUGUUUAUCUAGAGUGUCGCAGAGGCG